GACAAAAGAAAUGAUAAGAUUUGAAUUUAUAGGACAAAGCUUUCGAUAUCGCUUGAAACAAAUCUCGACUAAACAAUUUCUUCAUCAAAUGUUUUUAGAAAGAAAAAAGAAAAGAAAAUGCGGACAGUCAACAGAUUAAAUCAAUCACAUGCGCUCUAGUAGUAUUACAACAUUUCUCACCCUAUGCCAAAAAACCAUCAAUUAUUCAGUUCACUGUAUUUGUACUUAUUUUAUCAUUGAUAAACACCUAACUUCUAAACUAGUCCUAAUGCAAAUUCUAAGAUAAGAGAAAUUUUGCAAAAACAAAGAAGAUGAUGAGAGAUCAACACCACUAUCUUAAAAGGCCAAGUUUACAUCUUCCAAUUCUUCUUCUGAUGUUGAUGGUGAUGAUCCCAUGGAGCACAAGCCAUUUUGCUUUAGACCCACCGGAGAAGAGAAACAGCCUCGGCUUCUUCCACUGCAACGGCUCGUCCGCUGAAUGCUCCGGUAUUGGAGUUCUUGGUGGAGUCGGAAACAAGAAGAAUGCUGCAGCAAGGAGGCAAUCGGCCUUCGACUAACACCCUUGAGUUUAAUAUUGCAGCUUGUGGUCGUGACAAGUACGGCUACUUAUGCACUCCGCCGAGCAACACAGAUGUUAAAAGAUCUGAAAACUGUGGAGGGGAUACCUUCAAUCGUGCCUGCCACCAAUUAUCCAAAUGAGCAGUUAGGUUGCCAUAUUCACCCGAACAACCCCCCCCCCCCGGGGUCCUUUUCAUCCACUCCUUCCUUUUAUUCUUCAUUUUAUCCUAUGCUAGUUCAAGGUAUAUCUUAGAUGUUUGAUGCUCGUUUCAAGUUUCAUUCUUGGAAUUUCUUAAAUUAUUAUCGCUUUCUAUUGGAAUUUCUUCUUGGUAUAUGCUGAUUCUUGUGGCCGAAUACACAUCUUUGAUUAAAUCAAUUUAUAAUAAAUUUAAUUUUUAUUAACACUUUAAUAAUUCAAAAUAAAAAUCAAAUUAUUAAAGUUUGAUAACACAUUAAAAAAUGAAAAAUGAAAAGUAAAUAACCUACUUAAAAUAUUUUAAAUAAUUUAAAACAAUAAAAAGCGUAACUAAAACUAGCCCACUACUUUAAAUUUAUACAUUAUCACAUGACUUAUUCUCAAUGCCCCACUCUUCUUUUUAAAAUUCAUUAUUUUUAAAGAGAUAAAAUGACAAUUGUAAUUGUCCGUAACAAUUAGAAAAGUAAAUCACGAUGUAGUGCUUGAGGUUACAUAUUGGAAUUAAUUUAUAUAUUUUUAUAAUGAUUAAAAUGUAAUAUUAUCAGUUUAAUAGUUUAUAUUUUAUAAUUUUUUUAAAAAAAAUUAUCAUUUUAAGAGUUUAAGUAUUAUUUUACCAUGUGUUAAUUUAAAUUUUGUUAAAUUUUAAAGGGUCAAGAGCGAUAUUUUUCAUUUUAGGGGGUUGGGGCUCUUACUUAGCCCAUAGAGUAAUCCACUAUUGAUUUACAAUAUAAACAACUAUUUAAGUUCAACUUACUAAUCGAGUUGUUAUCUCAAUUCCAUAUUUGAUUAGAUUACUCUUUCCCCUAAGAUUUUCUUUAUAAAAACUUAAUCAUAAACUAAACCUGAAUAAUAAGUUGUCUACAAUAAAUUUGGACUAGCACAAGUUACUCACAAUUAACAAAAAUAGUGCUUUCUCUCUCUAACAGAUUAAAAUAAACAAGCCUUUUUUGAAUAGAAGUUAAAAGCUUGUAAAACUCCAUUUAGUGUAGGGGUGAACAAAACUCGAUUCGACUCGAAAAAAAUUUGAAUUUCGAGUUAAACGAAUCGAGUUAUUCGAAUCAACUCGAUUUUUUUUUCGAAUUUCGAGUUUGAAUCGAGUUGAGUUUUCAAAUUCGAAUAAUUCGAAUAAUUAGAAUAAUUCGAAUAUCAAACUAUAAUAUUUUACAUUUUUACUCCAAACUCCCAAACCUUUUUACUUUUCCUUCAAAACUUUUACUCCUUCCCACUUUCCCCCCAAAACUUUUACUCCCCUCCCCUCCCAACCCCCCAAUCUACCCAAAAUCCAUUUCCCACCAAAAUUUUACUCUCCCAUUUACUUUCUCUCAAAAUUUUACUCCCAAAAACCCUCCUCAAAACCUUUUAUUUUCCCCCAAAAUUUCUACUCCCUCUCACUUUUCCCCUAAAACUUUUAUUCCCCUCCCAUCCCACCUCUCAUAUAUCCCAAACCCUCCCCCCUCCAAAUUUUUUUUAAUAUUUUCCCUCCAAAAUUUUACUUCCCCCUAUUUACUUUCCCUCAAACUUUUAUUCCCCAAAACUUUUUAUUUUUCCUCUAAACUUUUACUUCUCACCCUUUACUCUCAAAUAAAAUAUCAAAAUUAUCCAAAAAAAAUCACUAAACAUAAAUAGUAAUAAUUUUAUUUAUAUCUACUAUUUAUAUUAUUAAAUUAAAUUUCACAUUUUAUAUUAUUUAUAUUAUUGAAUUGUUUAGUCAUAUUGAAUAUUUAUAUUAAAAUUGAAUUAUUAAUUAUGCCAUAAAAUAUUCGUGUUAAAAUUUUAUAUUGGUAUCAACUUCACAUUUUAUUUUUAAAAUAACUUUUAUUAAAAAAUCAUAUUUUUACAUUUAAUAUAUUUUUAAUUCCAAAAUACAUAGUGACAAGAAUCUGAAGAUAAUUGAAACAACUAAGCAAGCAAAGAAGCUAACCAGUAUAUAAAAAAUUAAUAAAUAAAUUACGAGGAGAUGAAAGUUAAUAAAAAAUUUGAUUAAGGUGGACAAAUUUUAUUAUGAUGGGUGACAAUGGUUACAAGGACCCAAAAUUAUUUUUUAAAAUUUAACUCGAACAAAUAUAUUCGAUUCGAUUCGAUUCAAAUUUCAUCUCACUCGACUCGAUUCGAGAAAACUUCAAAUAAAGUUAGGAUAAUAAAAUGAGAUUCGAAAACUCGAUUAAGUCUAAAAUUUUCGAUUUGAUUCGAUCGAAUACUCACCCCUAAUUUAGUGUAACAAUAUAUCACCUUGAAUUUUAUUUCAAGUAGGUCAUCAAUAAAGGAACAAAAUAGUAAAAUAUCUUCUAAGAAGACAAUUAGAUCUCUCCAAUUAAGAAAAUCCAAUCACACAUAAAUUAUUCAAAGAUAUAUUACCAUUGUGUCUUGUUAUAAUGUUAGAGUAUUUUCUAGCACAACUUUAUAAAAUAAUUAAUUAAAAUAUUUAUAUAUAUACAUAAAAUGAAAUUGUUAAAUUUUAUUUGUUACUUUGAAAAAAAAAACUCAAAGUAAUUAUUAAUACACUUAUAUUAAUAUAAAUAAUUACUAAAAUAAACAAUAGAUCUAUUAUAAUAAAGGCAAAUAUUAUAAUAUAUAUUAAUUUUUUAAUGAAAUUAUAAUAGCAUAUUUAUAAUAUGUUGGUAAAAAUAAAAUAAUUUCAAACUUAUAUUAUAUUCAUCUUUAGUGUAAUAUUUUUAACAAUUAUUUUCUAUCUUCAUAUUAUUGUUAUAAUUGCGUUUGAAUUUGCCACAUAUCUAACAAGUGAUUUAAUAUUAAUACUAGAUUAUUCAAUUUCACUGCUAUGUCACUAUCACCGUUGUUUCUAAGCUCAUUAAAGUCAAUCUCAUUGUCCACCCAAAAGGAGUCGGAGGAGGUAUCAUGAGUUAACCAAACAUCAACUUAAUUAAUAAAUGACUAAAAACUCGUUAUUUUACAAAGUAAUAGAUAUCACUACGAGUGUAUUUUUCUUAUAUAUAUAUAAAAUAUAUAAAAAUCAAUUUAAAUAGAAAUAAAUCUAGAAAAAUACCACAAAGAUUGGACUUGAACCUAAGAUACCAUGACCUUCAAAGAUCCAACUUUACCAUUUUAAUUAAAGCCUCAUUUUUUCUUGCAUAAUUUUUUUUAACAAAUAUAUCUUUUAUGUCAUUUCUUUUUUAAAUCACAUCGAAGGUAUGCUAUAAUUUAAUUUAUUUAACCAACUUUAUUCAUUUUAAGAAGAUAAAAAUAUUUUUCAGUACCUGAGUUUGGCUUCAAUGUUUAAAUUGGAAUAUAUGUUUUUUUUUCAGUUUGAUACUCGAAUUUGACUUUUGUCACAUAUUUUAGUCCAUUUUUGUAACUUCAUUAAAAUUGGGUAAUGUCUCUGAUUACUACAUAUGGGAGGUACAUCAACUAAUAAUGUGGUAUGCGUGCCAUGUGUCUAAACUUGAUUUGUCCAUAUCAUCCAGUUUCAAUGGAGUUACAGAAUUAGACUAUAAUGUACAAUGGAAGCCAAAUUCAAGAUUACUAACGAAAGUAAAAUUCAGGUACCAAUCAGAAAAAAAUAUAGGUACAAAUUUGAAUAUUGAAAUCAAGCUCAGAUAUCAAAAAUUAUAUUUAUCUUAUUUUAAAAUUAGAUAAAUUUUUUAUACAGUUCCUACUUCUACUCAUAAAUUCCCCAAAUAAUUAAAUGAAAGGAAAAAUACAUAUAUAAGCAUGCUUGAACUUAUGUCACGGGCUUAGAUUUUUCUCACACAAUUCGUGUGGCCUUAGGCAGUUUCUUCGCUCCCAAAAAUGCCUAAGUCAGCUUAACUCCCAACAAUUGAGGAUUUAACAGAAUUCCUCUAAGGCACCAAUGAAGAAUAAAGCCACAGAAAAACUAGAACACGAGAGAAAGUUUUUAGUGAAUGCUCUCAAGAACCCUAUUACUCAAUGAAUGGUUUACAAGUAGGGGGAGAGACCUUUAUUUAUAGUUGAGCCUUGAACUCAAGCUCGAGUCAAUAAUUAUGCUUAGGGCUAAUAAUACAUAUUAAGGGAAAAAAAACAUAAUUUAAUAAUAUAAUAAUAUGAGAAGCUCGAUAAGGCUCACUAGUCGUUCAAGUCAAGUACUACUAAGCUCAAAUUUAGUUCGGUCGAUAGCUUGAGUUGCUCAAGCUCAAUCUCAAUCUCGGCUCGAUAACUACAGAAUCGAGUUCUGUAACACCCCAAAAUUUUAAUUUUGGGUAUUGUGAAUGUGUGACACAAAAUAUUUGUCUACUUUAGUGGUUAUGUGUUUUAGGUGUGGGAGGUUCCAAGUUCAAGCCAAGACUUGGGCAAAUUUUGGUAUUUUUAUGAAUAAGCCCUAUCUUUGGUCAAUAAGGUUUUAAGUAAAAGUUGGCAAAUAAUUAAUAGAAUGGACAUGCUGGUCUGGUGGAUAAGUGGAGUGUUAGUGUGAAGGAGGUCUUGUGUUCAAAUCUUGGCGUGGGCAUUAUUUUUGCUCGUGCAUCUAGGAGAGUUUAAGAUGGGCUAAAAAUCUGAGUAGUGGAUUUAGUGGGGAGUUUGAUGGAGAGAAAUAAGGCAUUGGGGUGGUUAUCAAAUAUUCUGUUCAUUUUUUUUCCUUUUUUUUACUUUCCCCAAAAUUCCUCCACCCUUUUGUCAUUUUUCUCUUCAUUGCUGUUGAAUUUCUGCUCUCUUUCACCCUUCAUCUUCUUGAUUUUUCUUUUCCUACUCUGUCUCAUGUCGUUCCACAUUUGUCUGCGAUCGUUCGGUAAGUUUUAGAUAAGUGAUUUGUCUCCGUUUGUUAACUUUCUUCUGAAGUGAUUUAUUUUUGCCAAUUAAGGGAGGAUUCAAGGGCUCGUAAUCACCAAUCAGAGUCUUAGUUUGUGUGGGAAUUACUAUUCAUCGGUUAAAGGUAAAGUUUAGUCGCUUAUGGGUUAAAACCUCGAAACGAGUUCAAUUUGGGAUCACGUUAUGUGAGAUUAAAUUAGUGUUAUUUGUUCAAUUAUAGGCUUUGGAGUGCUCGGUGACUAUUUUAGCAUCAAACAAAACCAAGUGUGUACCCGAAAUGCAAAAAAUAGGAUUCGGCGAAAAGUCGAAAUUGCUUGUUGUUUGGACAGCAACAGUAUGCUAACUUUGAAAAAUCACCAUAAAUUGUGGAGAUCAAAUUAGAGGAUGAACAAAAUAUGAAUAUUUAGCUAGCAUGGGUUACGUUAAAAAUGGACCACGCGGGCGUAUGGGCCCACACGGGCAGACCACAUGGGCGUGUGAGCCUAUUUUCACUAAAUUGAUUCCUAAGGUUGCACGGGUGACCCAAGUCGACUGUGAACCUACUGUAGGGUCGGUAAGCAUCUCUUAGACCCCUAAUUGUACAAACUGAUUGUUUGAUUUAUAUAUGUGUUGAGCAUGAUGAUAGUAUGCUUGUAUACUGAACUGGUUAUAUGUACUGAUGUCCUGAGAUAGCAUGUCAUGACUUGUAUGUUGCAUUGCAUGGGGUAGGGUUGAUUAUAUUUGGAGGAAGUGUACUGAAAGGCUCUUAAGCCUAACAUACUGGUAGCUAAGCUGUAAAUUAUUGUUUUGUGUCGCAUUCGGUACUACCUGGAGUGUAGGGAUGGGUGGGUUGAUUUGAUCCCCACAUGGAGUGUUGGGUUGGACAGAGAUGGUGUGUAGAGGCUGGUUGGGUAGGACUUUGUUACUGAACACUGCAUGACUGCUAUUGAUACUGUGAUGGGCUAAGGCACUAUUGCAUAUUUGAUACUUUACUGAGAUGGGCUAAGGCCCAAACUGUUAUUGAUACUAAAAAAGGGCUUAGGACUAGCGCUGCUUUAACUAUGCACUUUUAUUUGCUAUUGUUUGUUUUCUGUGGGAUUACACACUGAGUUUUCGUAAACUCACCCAUUUUGUUUAAAUGUGCACAGGUAAUCCCCAGAUCUAGACGGAUCGGUCCGGUGGAGGACUCGGCAGUGACCACAGUUUUGGACUUUCAUGGUUUUUAACCCAUAUUUACAAUAAUUGGUUUUAUUUCUAUUCUAUUUUUACUGGCUAAGUUUUUGGGUUGUAAUUGGACUUUCGAACUUUGGUUUUGGGUUUUAAGUAUCUUUACCUUCUGGAUUACAAUUGCUAGUAGUAGGAAACCUCGGUUUUCAAAAGAAACAAAUGUUUUUCCUAAACGCACGAUUGUUUAAUUUGUUUUAAAAGCUUCCGCAAACGAAUAACAUUUUGAAACUAUCGAUUCAAUGAGUAGCACAAAUUUGGAACUAAUAAGAUAUUAAGAUAAGGAAUUCAAUGGAAAUGGUUUUAACGCGACGGCACGGUUUUCAAACACCCUAUCAUGUGACAUCGCUAGAUCCGGCCAUAACGUUUGGGGCGGGUUUGGGGUGUUACAAGUUCGAAUUUUUUAGUUGAACUCAAGUAGCGUGCAAGUACCAAUGUCUCAUUUACAUCCCUAAGUCAAACAGAGCUCGAGCUUUGAAUAUUAAAAUUCAAGCUCAACUCAUAUUUUAAAUGAAUCUAACCUUUUUGUUUAAUUCCAUUUUUUGAGGCCUAAUAUU
Molecule: long non-coding RNA, 7233 nt
Filed under: Gossypium raimondii (Peruvian cotton)
Lineage: Eukaryota; Viridiplantae; Streptophyta; Magnoliopsida; Malvales; Malvaceae
Description: long non-coding RNA (GRAI_LNC000640)
Source: RNAcentral